UGCAAUGUCUAAGUAUAAGCAACUAUACUGUGAAACUGCGAAUGGCUCAUUAAAUCAGUUAUCGUUUAUUUGAUAGUACCUUACUACUUGGAUAACCGUGGUAAUUCUAGAGCUAAUACAUGCUAAAAACCUCGACUUCGGAAGGGGUGUAUUUAUUAGAUAAAAAACCAAUGCCCUUCGGGGCUCACUGGUGAUUCAUAAUAACUUAACGAAUCGCAUGGCCUUGUGCCGGCGAUGGUUCAUUCAAAUUUCUGCCCUAUCACCUUUCGAUUGUUGGAUAGUGGCCAACAAUGGGUUCAACGGGUAACGGGGAAUUAGGGUUCUAUUCCGGAGAGGGAGCCUGAGAAACGGCUACCACAUCCAAGGAAGGCAGCAGGCGCGCAAAUUACCCAAUCCCGACACGGGGAGGUAGUGACAAUAAAUACUGAUACAGGGCUCUUUUGGGUCUUGUAAUUGGAAUGAGUACAAUUUAAAUCCCUUAACGAGGAACAAUUGGAGGGCAAGUCUGGUGGACAUUGGCGUCCUGAGGUGUUAAAACCUCUUAUUGCUGACGCCAGAAAGAGAAGAACUUCGGUUCUACUAGUCGACUAUACUACAAGCUUUGGGUGUAUAGCGGCAAGACAACCUGGAUCGGGGGAGGCUAAGGGCGCAAGCCUAUGCUAACCCCGAGCCGAGCUACUGGAGGGCAACCCCCAGAUAGCCGGUGUAGAGCGCGGAAAGGUGUCGGUCAUCCUAUCUGAUAGGUGGCUUGAGGGACGUGCCGUCUCAUCCGAAAGGGUGUUUCUAAGGAGGAGCUCCCAAAGGGCAAAUCUUAGAAAAGGGUGUAUACCCUAUAAUUUAACGGCCAGCAGCCGCGGUAAUUCCAGCUCCAAUAGCGUAUAUUAAAGUUGUUGCAGUUAAAAAGCUCGUAGUUGAACCUUGGGCCUGGCUGGCCGGUCCGCCUCACCGCGUGCACUGGUCCGGCCGGGUCUUUCCUUCUGGGGAGCCGUAUGCCCUUCACUGGGUGUGUCGGGGAACCAGGACUUUUACUUUGAAAAAAUUAGAGUGUUCAAAGCAGGCCUAUGCUCGAAUACAUUAGCAUGGAAUAAUAGAAUAGGACGUGUGGUUCUAUUUUGUUGGUUUCUAGGACCGCCGUAAUGAUUAAUAGGGAUAGUCGGGGGCGUCAGUAUUGCGUUGUCAGAGGUGAAAUUCUUGGAUUUACGCAAGACUAACUACUGCGAAAGCAUUCGCCAAGGAUGUUUUCAUUAAUCAGUGAACGAAAGUUAGGGGAUCGAAGACGAUCAGAUACCGUCGUAGUCUUAACCAUAAACUAUGCCGACUAGGGAUCGGGCGAUGUUAUCUUUUUGACUCGCUCGGCACCUCACGAGAAAUCAAAGUCUUUGGGUUCUGGGGGGAGUAUGGUCGCAAGGCUGAAACUUAAAGAAAUUGACGGAAAGGCACCACCAGGCGUUAGCAACUCUGCGCCGAACAGCAGCCCGGAAGGUCGGUGGUGCCUAUAACAUGCUAGUCUUGGGCUCACCCCCAAGGCGACACCCCUAAAUUGCGGGAACUCCCUAAAGCUCUCGCUACCGCCCCGGCGCCGAAAGGCUGGCAGGCACCGGGUUAACAACCACGGGUAUGGUCAAAACGCGAGAGAUGUCACAAUGGGUAAUCCGCAGCCAAGUCCCUACCGGCCCGUACGGCCCAGGGGAAAGGUUCAGAGACUAAAUAGGGAUGGGCGAUCUGGUAUCGCUUAAGAGAUAGUCCGGCGGUAGGUCAACACCUACGACGAAUAAACGGGAGCCUGCGGCUUAAUUUGACUCAACACGGGGAAACUCACCAGGUUAACUACAGUUACGUCUGGGCCUGGAAUAGUUAUUUGACAACUAGUACACGCCUUUACUUGUGUGGGAGAAGUCUCCCAAUUUUGGACACAAGGCCUUUCAGGAGGGUUUGGCGGUGCGACACUACCUGGUACAGGGGACGCCUCGCUGGAGUGAUCCGGCAGGCCGACUCUGUGGCGAGCUCGAGUAACGUCGAGCCGUCGCAACGGCGGGAAAGGAGUGGGUUCGGUGGAUCU
RNAcentral lists this ribosomal RNA (2059 nucleotides) under leotiomycete sp. G21-24-A14. RNAcentral's name for it is "bacterial SSU rRNA". The stretch from base 1 to 1521 matches the Rfam family "Eukaryotic small subunit ribosomal RNA". Lineage: Eukaryota; Fungi; Ascomycota; Leotiomycetes. The record is from RNAcentral.